RNAcentral lists this ribosomal RNA (506 nucleotides) under uncultured bacterium. Its description in RNAcentral is "partial 16S ribosomal RNA". It matches the Rfam family "Bacterial small subunit ribosomal RNA", at positions 29 to 523 of the family's 1533-position model. The record is from RNAcentral.
AUUGAACGCUGGCGGCAGGCCUAACACAUGCAAGUCGGACGGUAGCACAGAGGAGCUUGCUCCUCGGGUGACGAGUGGCGGACGGGUGAGUAAUGUCUGGGGAUCUGCCCGAUAGAGGGGGAUAACCACUGGAAACGGUGGCUAAUACCGCAUAACGUCGCAAGACCAAAGAGGGGGACCUUCGGGCCUCUCACUAUCGGAUGAACCCAGAGGGGAUUAGCUAGUAGGCGGGGUAAUGGCCCACCUAGGCGACGAUCCCUAGCUGGUCGGAGGGGAUGACCAGCCACACUGGAACUGAGACACGGUCCAGACCCCUACGGGAGGCAGCAGUGGGGAAUAUUGCACAAUGGGCGCAAGCCUGAUGCAGCCAUGCCGCGUGUAUGAAGAAGGUCUUCGGGUUGUAAAGUACUUUCAGCGGGGAGGAAGGCGGUGAGGUUAAUAACCUUGCCGAUUGACGUUACCCGCAGAAGAAGCACCGGCUAACUCCGUGCCAGCCGCCGCCGUAA